This 790-nucleotide ribosomal RNA is filed under the name uncultured Pelagibacteraceae bacterium. Its description in RNAcentral is "bacterial SSU rRNA". It matches the Rfam family "Bacterial small subunit ribosomal RNA", at positions 45 to 883 of the family's 1533-position model. The record is from RNAcentral. Lineage: Bacteria; Pseudomonadati; Pseudomonadota; Alphaproteobacteria; Candidatus Pelagibacterales; Candidatus Pelagibacteraceae.
CGCUUAACACAUGCAAGUCGAACGCAGUAGCAAUACUGAGUGGCAGACGGGUGAGUAUAAUGUGGGAAUCUGCCUUUUGGUUCGGAAUAACUCGGGGAAACCUGAGCUAAUACCGGAUAAGCCCUUACGGGGAAAGAUUUAUCGCCGAAAGAUGAGCCCGCACUUGAUUAGCUUGUUGGUGAGGUAAAGGCUCACCAAGGCAACAAUCAAUAGCUGUUCUUAGAGGAAGACCAGCCACAUUGGGACUGAGACACGGCCCAGACUCCUACGGGAGGCAGCAGUGGGGAAUCUUGCACAAUGGGGGAAACCCUGAUGCAGCGAUGCCGCGUGAGUGAAGAAGGCCUUUGGGUUGUAAAACUCUUUCGUUGGGGAAGAAAAUGACUGUACCCAAAUAAGAAGGUCCGGCUAACUUCGUGCCAGCAGCCGCGGUAAUACGAAGGGACCUAGCGUAGUUCGGAAUUACUGGGCUUAAAGAGCUCGUAGGUGGUUAAAAAAGUUGGUGGUGAAAUCCCAAGGCUUAACCUUGGAACUGCCAUCAAAACUUUUUAGCUAGAGUGUGAUAGAGGAAAGUGGAAUUUCUAGUGUAGAGGUGAAAUUCGUAGAUAUUAGAAAGAACACCAAAAGCGAAGGCAACUUUCUGGAUCACUACUGACACUGAGGAGCGAAAGCAUGGGUAGCGAAGAGGAUUAGAUACCCUCGUAGUCCAUGCUGUAAACGAUGUGUGCUAGACGUUGGAAAUUUAAUUUUCAGUGUCGCAGCAAAAGCGUUAAGCACACCGCCUGGGGAGUAC